This 1512-nucleotide long non-coding RNA is filed under the name Pongo abelii (Sumatran orangutan). Its description in RNAcentral is "lincRNA". Lineage: Eukaryota; Metazoa; Chordata; Mammalia; Primates; Hominidae. The record is from RNAcentral.
CCAUGUAGGGAAGCCAAAGUGUGAGUCUUACCCUGCUGGUUUACAACUGACUGACAUUUGCUGCCUGGGCAGCUGCUGUGGGUGCCUGGAAACCCUAUUGGACUAGGACUGGCCCCGGCAAAAAACAAGUGUUUCAGCUGCCCAGUGUCCUCUGAGUGGAUGCUGGUGAUUCUGGUAUGGAGCCCAGAUGUAAGGCAGCAGGUGGUCCAGAAGGCACCAGAAGAGGUCUCCUGUCAAGGUCAGGGCCAGAGAGGAAGGCACAGGGAACCUACUGCACGAGACUUUCACUUGCAAAGAGCAACCCAUGAUGAGGAGGGAGGAUUCCUGGGGGCGUUGAGUCUCAUCCAUAAGGACACCUUUUCCAAGUUACUUCAUUUUGUAUAGCUGCAUAGUCCCUCACCCUUAUCACUGUACCAAGAGCUGGCAGCUGAACAAGAAUACAUCUUCUGACCAAGAUCCCUUCUGGGACCAAGGACACAAGGACCCAAGACCUUCUUGCUUGGAAAGUGAAUUCCUCAGAAUUGCGAGAUGAUGCCCGUCUUGGAGGAAGAUGACAUGAGGACCCAAAACCUUCUUGCUUGGAAAGUGAAUUCUCAGAACUCCACAAAGACUCCAGUCUUGGAGGAAGACGAGGUGUUGAGAGAUAGCUGGGAUCCCUGAGGAAGGCAGCCCCAGUCUCCGGUGGAGAAUUACGAGGGACCCAAGCAGAUGGUUGGUGGUGGAAACGUCACCUCAGUCUAGUACUAUGGAGUUUCCUUUCACCCCCAACAGCCGAUGGUUUCCAGGGGCGAAGAAUGAAAAGUGAAGCAAGAUGUCUCUACUGUCCAGGUGCAGAUAAGGAAGCAGGGCGCCUGCCACCCCCAAGGAAGAGUCAGUUCAGAAGCACAGCAGCUGCUGGAAACCCAGGAGGUUUCCAGUUCGUUCCUGCUGGGACCUGGCAAGAGUUGCACUGUCAAGGCUGCAAGAGGCUCCUGACGGCUUCUGGCACGUACAGACUGGAAUAAGAGAACCUAGCAGAAAUGGAAGCAGAGGCAAGAGGUCUGGAGGCCAGGAAAAUGUCAAUGGCAAGCAGCUAGCAUGAAGACCCCACAGUGUUCUUCCCUCUAGUAGUGUGGUAUUAUUUGGAGCUGAGAUGCUCCCAAUAUGGUUGGGACAUUUGUCCCCUCCAAAUCUCAUGUGAGAAUUUGAUCCCCCGUUUUGGGGAUGGGGUCUAAUGGGAGGAGUUUUGGUCAUGAUGGGGGACCCCUCAUGAAUGGCUUGGUGCCCUGCUCACCAGGAGUGAAUGAGCUCUCACUCUACUAGUUCACUGGAGAGCUGGCUGUUUAAAGAGCCUGGCAUCUCCCCCACUUUCUCUCUUGCUCCCCCUUCUCACUGUGAUAUACCUGCUCCCCUUUGCCAUCCAUCAUGAGUGGAAGCUUCUUGAAGCCUCCACCUAAAGCAGAUGCUGACACUAUGCUUCCUGUACAGCCUGCCAUACCAUGAGCCAAAAUAAACCUGUUUUCUUUGCAAAUU